Saccostrea cuccullata (small rock oyster) is the source of this 1168-nucleotide long non-coding RNA. RefSeq lists it as uncharacterized. NCBI's taxonomy places the organism in Eukaryota, Metazoa, Mollusca, Bivalvia, Ostreida, Ostreidae. The record is from RefSeq and is a predicted model, not a curated record. The transcript has 7 exons.
CAAAGGGAACUCUUUUUUUUUAGGUACGCAUGAUCGAUGUAACUUCCUCGAUGGUGUGUUGGCUGUUUGCCCAUGUGUAUUUCGGGGUAUAGUGCGGCAUGCAGUCUGGUCAUCAACGAAGAGUUUUGACACCUGUAAUACCCAUAUUUCUACCAUUCACCUCUGUAACCUUUGUUGAGUUCAUCAGACUGUCCAAGACAGGAAGUUGAGGAAUAAAGUUGACAGGACAUCCUGAACUGUCCUCGCUACCAGCUUAUCAGGGAACCAGCUGCAGUGGACAAAGUACGUUACAUCAUAGGAUAAUAGCAUUGAAUUGGAUUCUUGAACCAGAGCCAUGUGAACCUGGUCCACCUGUACCUCUCAUUGAAGACCUGUUAACAUCACCAGAGUGUGUUCAUUCUGAUACCCCUAUGGUAUGGUUACAGCAUGCAUUAUCCCUGAAUCCAUUAAAAGAGCUGCAUUGACAACGAAACAACCCAAUGUGGUCGAUUGUAAGGAAAUAUAGCAUAUCAGCUUCCAACUUUGGUGCAGUUCUCAGUUCUAAGCAAAGGCGAUUGACAUUGUCACUGAAGAAACAGCUGAUGUCGGCUUACAAUCUGGAGUCCAUCAAGGCUGUUGCAUGGGGUAUCACUCAUGAAGAUGAUGCUUUGAGAAGGUAUGAAAAAGGACUUUGAUGCAGCUGUAGAGCAGUCAGGAUAUGGUUGCAUGAAUCUGGAGUGUUGGGAGCUUCACCUGAUGGCUUAGUUGUUCGACCACCAACAUGCAGUGUAUUUUAUCAAACUCCAGAAGCCAAAGACGCCAUUCCUGAUAUUGUAGAGGUGAAGUGUCCACACACAGCAUCGUCUUCAACAGUAGCAGAUGGGGCACAAAAUUUGAAGGAUUUUUCAUAGAUCUUAAACAAGAUACCCUGUGCCUGAAAACCAGUCACCCAUACUAUCAUCAAAUUCAAGGCCAGCUACACAUACGUAACAAAACAUUCUGCGACUUAAUUAUGUGGACAAGAGUAGACUGCAUUGUGAUUAGAAUAGUAAAAGACAUUGAAUGGACAGCAAAUGUUCCAAAGCUGAUAGAUUUCUACAUUAACAUUUUCAUUCCAGCACUGAUGGAAAACUGAGUUCUAGUUUGAACUUCUUGACACUUAGUUUUGUACCUCUAGAAUUUUCUAACA